UACGUAGGUGGCAAGCGUUGUCCGGAUUUACUGGGCGUAAAGGGUGCGUAGGUGGAUAUUUAAGUGAGAUGUGAAAUCCCCGAGCUUAACUUGGGGCCUGCAUUUCAAACUGGAUAUCUAGAGUGCAGGAGAGGAGAAUGGAAUUCCUAGUGUAGCGGUGAAAUGCGUAGAGAUUAGGAAGAACACCAGUGGCGAAGGCGAUUCUCUGGACUGUAACUGACACUGAGGCACGAAAGCGUGGGUAGCAAAC
Molecule: ribosomal RNA, 250 nt
Filed under: uncultured bacterium
Lineage: Bacteria
Description: partial 16S ribosomal RNA
Rfam family: Bacterial small subunit ribosomal RNA
Source: RNAcentral